GAUGAAGAACGUAGCGAAAUGCGAUAACUAAUGUGAAUUGCAGAAUUCAGUGAAUCAUCGAGUCUUUGAACGCACAUUGCGCCCCCUGGUAUUCCGGGGGGCAUGCCUGUCCGAGCGUCAUUGCUGCCCUCAAGCACGGCUUGUGUGUUGGGCUCCGUCCCCCCGGGGACGGGCCCGAAAGGCAGCGGCGGCACCGAGUCCGGUCCUCGAGCGUAUGGGGCUUUGUCACCCGCUCUGUAGGCCCGGCCGGCACCAGCCGACAACCCAUCAUCCUUUUCAGGUUGACCUCGGAUCAGGUAGGGAUACCCGCUGAACUUAAGCAUAUCAAUAAGCGGAGGA
Molecule: unclassified non-coding RNA, 339 nt
Filed under: soil metagenome
Description: partial contains 5.8S ribosomal RNA, internal transcribed spacer 2, and large subunit ribosomal RNA
Rfam family: 5.8S ribosomal RNA (bases 1-120)
Source: RNAcentral